RNAcentral lists this ribosomal RNA (252 nucleotides) under uncultured bacterium. Its description in RNAcentral is "partial 16S ribosomal RNA". It matches the Rfam family "Bacterial small subunit ribosomal RNA", at positions 524 to 776 of the family's 1533-position model. The record is from RNAcentral.
UACGUAGGUCCCGAGCGUUGUCCGGAUUUAUUGGGCGUAAAGCGAGCGCAGGUGGUUUAUUAAGUCUGAUGUAAAAGGCAGUGGCUCAACCAUUGUAUGCAUUGGAAACUAUGUUACUAGAGUGCAGGAGAGGUAAGCGGAAUUCCUAGUGUAGCGGUGAAAUGCGUAGAUAUUAGGAGGAACACCAGUGGCGAAGGCGGCUUACUGGACUGUAACUGACGCUGAGGUUCGAAAGCGUGGGUAGCAAACAGG